This 432-nucleotide ribosomal RNA is filed under the name Elaver sp. MR163. RNAcentral describes it as "partial 16S ribosomal RNA". Lineage: Eukaryota; Metazoa; Arthropoda; Arachnida; Araneae; Clubionidae. The record is from RNAcentral.
UUCUAUUAUUAUAAUUAAUAGUAAAAUCUGCUCAAUGAAAUUUAAAUAGCCGCAACAAUGUGCUAAGGUAGCAUAAUAAUUCGCCUUUUAAUUGAAGACUAGAACAAAAGAUUUAACAAUUUAAUUAAUAUAUUAUAAUUAUUAUAUUAAAUUUAUUUUAAAUGUAAAAAAACAUUUUUAAAAAAGAAAGACGAUAAGACCCUAUUGAACUUAACUAUAGUUAAACUGGGGCAGUAAAUUAAUUAUUAUUUUAAUUUUUAUAAAAAUAUAAUUAUCUAAUUUAAUUAAUUAAAUAAGUUACCAUAGGGAUAACAGCGUAAUUUAUAUUAAAAGAUCUUAUAUAAAUAUAAGAUUGCGACCUCGAUGUUGAAUAAUAAACUAAAUAACGCAAUAGUUAAAAAAGUAAGUCUGUUCGACUUUUAAACAAUUACA